RNAcentral lists this ribosomal RNA (507 nucleotides) under Cladosporium oxysporum. RNAcentral's name for it is "eukaryotic LSU rRNA". The stretch from base 155 to 308 matches the Rfam family "5.8S ribosomal RNA". Lineage: Eukaryota; Fungi; Ascomycota; Dothideomycetes; Cladosporiales; Cladosporiaceae. The record is from RNAcentral.
AGUGACCCCGGUCUAACCACCGGGAUGUUCAUAACCCUUUGUUGUCCGACUCUGUUGCCUCCGGGGCGACCCUGCCUUCGGGCGGGGGCUCCGGGUGGACACUUCAAACUCUUGCGUAACUUUGCAGUCUGAGUAAACUUAAUUAAUAAAUUAAAACUUUUAACAACGGAUCUCUUGGUUCUGGCAUCGAUGAAGAACGCAGCGAAAUGCGAUAAGUAAUGUGAAUUGCAGAAUUCAGUGAAUCAUCGAAUCUUUGAACGCACAUUGCGCCCCCUGGUAUUCCGGGGGGCAUGCCUGUUCGAGCGUCAUUUCACCACUCAAGCCUCGCUUGGUAUUGGGCAACGCGGUCCGCCGCGUGCCUCAAAUCGACCGGCUGGGUCUUCUGUCCCCUAAGCGUUGUGGAAACUAUUCGCUAAAGGGUGCUCGGGAGGCUACGCCGUAAAACAAACCCAUUUCUAAGGUUGACCUCGGAUCAGGUAGGGAUACCCGCUGAACUUAAGCAUAUCA